UCAUGAAUCCUUAAUUCCAUUUGAACUCAGCAAUGCCACAGUCACUUUCCAUCAACCCGCCCACUCAGCUGAAUUGUACCAGCCUCUUCUUUGCAGAGCACCACAUUCGCGCUCUAAGAUUGAUUGGGUGUUGGGCCACUGCCACAAAGACAAAGGAGGUCAAACUCAACACCUGCAGUUUGCUUCUGACUUCUAAAGCAGAUGCUGAUGAAAUUUUCCGGGAUUUACCUGCAUAACCCAUGUCUAGUUGCAGUGGCUUCAUGGACACUUUAUCACAGAUGAUGCAGUGAAAUAUUAAUAACGUGUUACUCUCCUCUUUUAUCAGCACGGCAAAACAGUUGAAGCUGAAAUGACACAGUGAGGAUAGACCAGACUGAUGUGAAGCUAACCUCGUAUCAAGCCAUCUUCCUCACUCCCCAGCUUUGCUCUUCUCUAAGCAUGACUGGCGUGCUGGCCAAAUGUUCAACACAGAGUGCUGCUUGAGGCUCUAGAAGCUGCAACUAAGGAAGAUAGGGUAGCUGCUCACUGGGGCCAGAAAUAUGGGAUGAGUCAGAGAGCAAGUUGGAAUCCAGUGCCAAUUCAUGACCAAGCCGGAGGACCAGCCUAUUCUAGGACACACAUAUGAAGAUUGAUGUUGAGAAAUGUAGAACUUUCCAGGAAAAUCAAGAAUGGUGUGGAGACAGGAAUCCAUGGUCUGUGAGUAUAAAGCCCCAGAAAUUAAUUGUAGGAGCUCAUCCUGAUUCACCCAAGAUCACCCAGAAGCUGCAAGAAAAUGUUCUGUCAAAAUCUCAAAGGCUGGAGAUUGAAAUGGAGAAGAACCAGGGAAGGAUUAUUGGAAUUUAAAAGAGAAAUCUUGAAGAUGAAAUAAUUUGUGGGAAUGUUCUUGGACACUAUAUACUGUUGACCGGUGACAAGUCCUUGCUUCCCCAAUGUUGAAGUAUAACACCAGAGAAGCACACCGAGGCAAGGUCAGAGUGGAAGGUAGAAGUUUAUUAAAGGACAGCAGAAAAGACUUCUCCCGGAGGAAGAAGGGGACCCAAGAGAUGGAACUGAAAAACCAGCCUCUACCUCAGAGCAAAGCCUGACCAAGAAAGGGACAUGACCUUUGUCCUUGAAAAAACCCACAGAGCACUCCUAAGCACAUUCCCACCCUGCUAAGUUGUUUAUCUACAAAUAACAGGAGAGAUCUGCUGUGCCAGGUGUCCCUGACUCAGUCAGGCUAGGUGGGGAUCCAUAGCAACCCGCUAGCAGCCACCAAUCAGCAUGAGACAGGGAAAUACCUGGGAUGCCAGAUGACCCUCCCAGUAGUUUAUGGUGGUUGAUAACAUGAUGGGAAACCAUGUAGUUCAGCACGUACACCCCUCUUAGCUCAAACCAAUCAGUUCAAACCAAUACCCCUUUUGUUCUGACCAAUCACCCCUCCCCAACUUGUUCCCUCCAGUGAAUGUGCUAAUCAUGUUUUAGAGUUGUUAUUUGAUUUUCCCGCGGUGUGUGAUGAUUUGCUAUGAUGUAUGUGAAGUCCCUGCCCUCUCCAAAAAAUGUAUAAAAAUGCUGCAAACCCUGGGCUCGGGGCCUCUCAGCGUCACCAGUUGCUGUGUGUGUGUGGAGGACCGAGCUAGCUCGCAAUAAACACCUCUUUGCUGCUUACAUUGAUCUUGGGUCUCUGGUGGUCUUUGGGGGUCCUGAAUUCGAGCAUAACAGAAUCCGUGGAAGUAUGGUUGUCUCCCCAUUUUAUAGUUCCUUCAGUGAUGGAAUAUUGGUGGGAAGUCCUGAAGGGUGGAGCACAGGUGGGCCAAAGAAGUAAUCUGGGCAGGAAGGACUUUUGAGUCAGCAUCUUCAAGUUUGCUGGGAGCUGUUUCAUUAACACUUCUUUGGGAUGGGCUCUGGGCCUUGGGGACAUUAACAUUCCAUGAGUUGUCCUGCUUUUCCCGAAAUUCAUUCUCAACAUGGCCUCCAUUUUGGAUCUUACUCCAUAUUAGACCCGAUUUACUUAACUACACUGACUACCU
This is a long non-coding RNA of Ictidomys tridecemlineatus (thirteen-lined ground squirrel), 2009 nucleotides long. The record is from Ensembl. NCBI's taxonomy places the organism in Eukaryota, Metazoa, Chordata, Mammalia, Rodentia, Sciuridae.